RNAcentral lists this ribosomal RNA (478 nucleotides) under uncultured bacterium. Its description in RNAcentral is "partial 16S ribosomal RNA". It matches the Rfam family "Bacterial small subunit ribosomal RNA", at positions 28 to 507 of the family's 1533-position model. The record is from RNAcentral.
GACGAACGCUGGUGGCGUGCUUAACACAUGCAAGUCGAACGGGAUUUAGUAAACAGAAGCCUCUGUGGAAGAUUACUAAUGAGAGUGGCGAACGGGUGAGUAACGCGUGAGCAACCUGCCUAUGACAGUGGGAUAGCCUCGGGAAACCGGGAUUAAUACCGCAUAAAAUCGUAGAAACACAUGUUUUAACGGUCAAAGAUUUAUCGGUCAUAGAUGGGCUCGCGUCUGAUUAGCUAGUUGGUGAGAUAACAGCACACCAAGGCGACGAUCAGUAGCCGGUCUGAGAGGAUGAACCGCCACAUUGGAACUGAGACACGGUCCAAAAUCCUACGGGAGGCAGCAGUGGGGAAUAUUGCACAAUGGGGGAAACCCUGAUGCAGCGACGCCGCGUGAACGAAGAAGGUAUUCGUAUCGUAAAGUUCUGUCCUAUGGGAAGAUAAUGACAGUACCAUAGAAGAAAGCGCCGGCUAAAUACGUG